AGUAGCGGAAGGGUGAGGAACGCGUGAGUAAUCUGCCCCCCAGUUGGGAAUAACAGUUGGAAACGACUGCUAAUACCGAAUGUGGCUUAAGCUUCGCCUGGAGCUUUGGCUAGAGAUUUAUCGCUGGGGGAUGAGCUCGCGUCCCAUUAGGUAGUUGGUGAGGUAACGGCUCACCAAGCCGACGAUGGGUAGCUGGUCUGAGAGGAUGGUCAGCCACACUGGGACUGAGACACUGCCCAGACUCCUACGAGAGGCUGCAGUCGAGAAUCUUGGGCAAUGCGCGAAAGCGUGACCCAGCAAUGCCGCGUGUAUGAUGAAGGCCCUCGGGUCGUAAAGUACUGUCUCCCGUGACGAAAUUUGACGGUAGCGGGGAAGGAAGCCACGGCUAACUACGUGCCAGCAGCCGCGGUAAUACGUAGGUGGCGAGCGUUGUUCGGAUUUAUUGGGCGUAAAGGGUCUGUAGGAGGUUUGUUAAAUACGGGGUGAAAUCCCGAAGCUCAACUUCGGAAUUGCCUUGUAGACUGACGGACUAGAGUACCGGAGAGGUAAGCGGAAUACCAGGUGUAGCGGUGGAAUGCGUAGAUAUCUGGUAGAACACCAAAAGCGAAGGCAGCUUGCUGGACGGAAACUGACUCUGAAAGACGAAAGCAUGGGGAGCAAACAGGAUUAGAUACCCUGGUAGUCCAUGCC
RNAcentral lists this ribosomal RNA (690 nucleotides) under uncultured bacterium. RNAcentral's name for it is "bacterial SSU rRNA". It matches the Rfam family "Bacterial small subunit ribosomal RNA", at positions 94 to 801 of the family's 1533-position model. The record is from RNAcentral.